Molecule: long non-coding RNA, 384 nt
Filed under: Pan troglodytes (chimpanzee)
Lineage: Eukaryota; Metazoa; Chordata; Mammalia; Primates; Hominidae
Description: long non-coding RNA NONPTRT010951
Source: RNAcentral
CUGGGCACGGUGGCUCACGCCUAUAAUCCCAGCACUUUGGGAGGCCGAGGCGGGUGGAUCACAAGGUCAGGAGAUCGAGACCAUCCUGGCUAACAUGGUGAAACCCCAUCUCUACUAAAAAUACAAAAAAUUAGCCGGGCGUGGUGGCGGGCGCCUGUGGUCCCAGCUAUUUGGGAGGCUGAGGCAGGAGAAGGGCAUGAACCCGGGAGGUGGAGCUUGCAGUGAGCGGAGAUGGCGCCACUGCACUUCAGCCUGGGCGACAGAGCAGAGCGACUGGGCCAGGACUAGGCCCAGUCUAUUUCUUAUUCUGCUUACUUUUUCAUUUCUCUUGGUAGAUGUUGAUGUUGUUUUAUAUUCUUCUAAAAAUCUAAAAAAUGGAUCAAG